ACUGCUCAGUAACACGUGGACAACCUGCCCUUAGGUUGGGUAUAAACCCGGGAAACUGGGUAUAAUACCCGAUAGGUCUCGAUUGCUGGAAUGCAUCGAGAUUUAAAGCUCCGGCGCCUAAGGAUGGGUCUGCGGCCUAUCAGGUAGUAGUGGGUGUAGCGUACCUACUAGCCUACGACGGGUACGGGUUGUGAGAGCAAGAGCCCGGAGAUGGAUUCUGAGACACGAAUCCAGGCCCUACGGGGUGCAGCAGGCGCGAAAACUUUACAAUGCUGGCAACAGCGAUAAGGGAACCUCGAGUGCCAGGUUACAAAUCUGGCUGUCGAGAUGCCUAAAAAGCAUUUCAUAGCAAGGACCGGGCAAGACCGGUGCCAGCCGCCGCGGUAACACCGGCGGCUCGAGUGGUAACCGUUAUUAUUGGGUCUAAAGGGUCUGUAGCCGGCCGGAUAAGUCUCUUGAGAAAUCUGGCAGCUUAACUGUCAGGCUUUCAGGAGAUACUGUCUGGCUCGAGGCCGGGAGAGGUGAGAGGUACUUCAGGGGUAGGGGUGAAAUCUUGUAAUCCUUGAAGGACCACCAGUGGCGAAGGCGUCUCACCAGAACGGACCUGACGGCAAGGGACGAAAGCUAGGGGCACGAACCGGAUUAGAUACCCGGGUAGUCCUAGCCGUAAACGAUACUCGCUAGGUGUCGGCCACGGUGCGACCGUUGUCGGUGCCGUAGGGAAGCCGUGAAGCGAGCCACCUGUGAAGUACGGCCGCAAGGCUGAAACUUAAAGGAAUUGGCGGGGGAGCAC
This 793-nucleotide ribosomal RNA is filed under the name uncultured archaeon. RNAcentral describes it as "bacterial SSU rRNA". It matches the Rfam family "Archaeal small subunit ribosomal RNA", at positions 85 to 879 of the family's 1478-position model. The record is from RNAcentral.